GGCAGCUGUCUCAAUACCCUAAAUGCACCAUAUCCAAUCUGAUGUGGGAAGCUAAGCAGGACCAGCCCUGGUCAGGACUUGGAUGGGAGACUGCCAACGAAUCCCAGGUGCUGUGGCCU
This 119-nucleotide ribosomal RNA is filed under the name Anolis carolinensis (green anole). Lineage: Eukaryota; Metazoa; Chordata; Lepidosauria; Squamata; Anolidae. The record is from RNAcentral.